GGAAGUAAAAGUCGUAACAAGGUCCCCGUUGGUGAACCAGCGGAGGGAUCAUUACUGAGUUUACGCUCUACAACCCUUUGUGAACAUACCUACAACUGUUGCUUCGGCGGGUAGGGUCUCCGCGACCCCCCCGGCCUCCCGCCUCCGGGCGGGUCGGCGCCCGCCGGAGGAUAACCAAACUCUGAUUUAACGACGUUUCUUCUGAGUGGUACAAGCAAAUAAUCAAAACUUUUAACAACGGAUCUCUUGGUUCUGGCAUCGAUGAAGAACGCAGCGAAAUGCGAUAAGUAAUGUGAAUUGCAGAAUUCAGUGAAUCAUCGAAUCUUUGAACGCACAUUGCGCCCGCCAGCAUUCUGGCGGGCAUGCCUGUUCGAGCGUCAUUUCAACCCUCAAGCUCUGCUUGGUGUUGGGGCCCUACAGCCGAUGUAGGCCCUCAAAGGUAGUGGCGGACCCUCCCGGAGCCUCCUUUGCGUAGUAACUUUACGUCUCGCACUGGGAUCCGGAGGGACUCUUGCCGUAAAACCCCCCAAUUUUCCAAAGGUUGACCUCGGAUCAGGUAGGAAUACCCGCUGAACUUAAGCAUAUCAAUAAGCGGAGG
RNAcentral lists this ribosomal RNA (598 nucleotides) under Colletotrichum gloeosporioides. Its description in RNAcentral is "eukaryotic LSU rRNA". The stretch from base 227 to 380 matches the Rfam family "5.8S ribosomal RNA". Lineage: Eukaryota; Fungi; Ascomycota; Sordariomycetes; Glomerellales; Glomerellaceae. The record is from RNAcentral.